This 1121-nucleotide ribosomal RNA is filed under the name Kocuria sp. RNAcentral's name for it is "bacterial SSU rRNA". It matches the Rfam family "Bacterial small subunit ribosomal RNA", at positions 26 to 1161 of the family's 1533-position model. The record is from RNAcentral. Lineage: Bacteria; Bacillati; Actinomycetota; Actinomycetes; Micrococcales; Micrococcaceae.
GGGACGGCUGGCGGCGUGCUUACACAUGCAAGUCGAACGCUGAAGCUUGGUGCUUGCACUGGGUGGAUGAGUGGCGAACGGGUGAGUAAUACGUGAGUAACCUGCCCUUGACUCUGGGAUAAGCCUGGGAAACUGGGUCUAAUACUGGAUACGACAUGUCACCGCAUGGUGGUGUGUGGAAAGGGUUCUACUGGUUUUGGAUGGGCUCACGGCCUAUCAGCUUGUUGGUGGGGUAAUGGCUCACCAAGGCGACGACGGGUAGCCGGCCUGAGAGGGUGACCGGCCACACUGGGACUGAGACACGGCCCAGACUCCUACGGGAGGCAGCAGUGGGGAAUAUUGCACAAUGGGCGAAAGCCUGAUGCAGCGACGCCGCGUGAGGGAUGACGGCCUUCGGGUUGUAAACCUCUUUCAGCACGGAAGAAGCGAAAGUGACGGUACGUGCAGAAGAAGCGCCGGCUAACUACGUGCCAGCAGCCGCGGUAAUACGUAGGGCGCAAGCGUUGUCCGGAAUUAUUGGGCGUAAAGAGCUCGUAGGCGGUUUGUCGCGUCUGCUGUGAAAGCCCGGGGCUUAACCCCGGGUGUGCAGUGGGUACGGGCAGACUUGAGUGCAGUAGGGGAGACUGGAAUUCCUGGUGUAGCGGUGAAAUGCGCAGAUAUCAGGAGGAACACCGAUGGCGAAGGCAGGUCUCUGGGCUGUUACUGACGCUGAGGAGCGAAAGCAUGGGGAGCGAACAGGAUUAGAUACCCUGGGUAGUCCAUGCCGUAAACGUUGGGCACUAGGUGUGGGGAACAUUCCACGUUUUCCGCGCCGUAGCUAACGCAUUAAGUGCCCCGCCCUGGGGAGUACGGCCGCAAGGCUAAAACUCAAAGGAAUUUGACGGGGGCCCGCACAAGGCGGCGGAGCAUGCGGGAUUAAUUUCGAUGCAACGCGAGAACUUACCAAGGCUUGACAUAACACCGGACGGGCCAGAGAUGGUCUUUCCCCCUUGGUGGGGCUGGUGUACAGGUGGUGCAUGCUUGUCGUCAGCUCGGUGUCGUGACAUUGUGGGUUAGUCCGCACGAGGCGCAUCUCGUCUAUGUUGCCAGGCACAUGGUGCAUGGGUGGGGAACUUCUUAAU